UACGGAGGGGGCUAGCGUUGUUCGGAAUUACUGGGCGUAAAGCGCGCGUAGGCGGACCUGCAAGUCGGGGGUGAAAGCCCGAGGCUCAACCUCGGAACUGCCUUCGAUACUGCGGGUCUCGAGUCCGGGAGAGGUGAGUGGAAUUCCUAGUGUAGAGGUGAAAUUCGUAGAUAUUAGGAAGAACACCAGUGGCGAAGGCGUCUCACUGGCCCGGUACUGACGCUGAGGCGCGAAAGCGUGGGGAGCAAACAUG
RNAcentral lists this ribosomal RNA (253 nucleotides) under uncultured bacterium. RNAcentral describes it as "partial 16S ribosomal RNA". It matches the Rfam family "Bacterial small subunit ribosomal RNA", at positions 524 to 776 of the family's 1533-position model. The record is from RNAcentral.